Non-coding RNA from Cinara cedri, 236 nucleotides. NCBI's taxonomy places the organism in Eukaryota, Metazoa, Arthropoda, Insecta, Hemiptera, Aphididae. The record is from the annotation of a GenBank genome assembly.
CUCACGUUAGUACACCAUUUCAGCGCGUAAAAUAUGCAGCGCGUCGAGCGUGGUUGUACAAUGAUUGAUUUUUUCCCAUAGCCUUUGGUCCUGGACGGUCUUAUACUCUUGUACCAGCAUUCAGUACCCGCCGGUACGCUUUGCGAUGGUGUCGUUUCCCAUAUUUGCUCUUGUCUUUACGUGCUCGCGUCAUUGUAAAGUCUGAGUUAAUUAGUUUUUCUUUCUUCUUUUUUUUU